This 273-nucleotide ribosomal RNA is filed under the name Triticum aestivum (bread wheat). RNAcentral describes it as "partial small subunit ribosomal RNA". Lineage: Eukaryota; Viridiplantae; Streptophyta; Magnoliopsida; Poales; Poaceae. The record is from RNAcentral.
AUGUAUGUUGGUUUCAAUCCCACCUCAGAGAUCAGGAAGUCUGACUUCCUCUGCAGCAAACCAUCUGAAAAUGUUCUUCAAGUUGUCCACUCUGGUGGCGAUACUCUCCUCACGGAGAGAUGCGACAGCGGUCAGCGCGCGCGAGAACAUCCUAGAGCCACGGUGUACGCCAAGACCCUCGGCGCAUGCCACCAUCGCCUAGAGGCGGUCUAUGUUGAGGGUGAGCAUCCAGGGCCGAGCGACGCACAGCUUGGCAAUAUCACAAGCACCUAG